GAGAGAGGCACGAUGCAGCGAAGACUGCUAAUCUUCGCCACCCUGGUUAAAUCCCUGGGCUCACU
RNAcentral lists this transfer RNA (65 nucleotides) under Pardachirus pavoninus (Pacific sole). RNAcentral describes it as "tRNA-Ser". Lineage: Eukaryota; Metazoa; Chordata; Actinopteri; Pleuronectiformes; Soleidae. The record is from RNAcentral.